CAGCAGCCGCGGUAAUACGAAGGGUGCAAGCGUUAAUCGGAAUUACUGGGCGUAAAGCGUGCGUAGGCGGUGAGUUAAGUCUGCUGUGAAAUCCCCGGGCUCAACCUGGGAAUGGCAGUGGAUACUGGCUCGCUAGAGUGUGUCAGAGGAUGGUGGAAUUCCCGGUGUAGCAGUGAAAUGCGUAGAGAUCGGAAGGAACAUCUGUGGCGAAGGCGACUAUCUGGGCCAACACUGACACUGAGGCACGAAAGCGUGGGGAGCAAACAGGAUUAGAUACCCCUGUAGUCCCUGUCUCUUAUAC
Molecule: ribosomal RNA, 301 nt
Filed under: uncultured bacterium
Lineage: Bacteria
Description: partial 16S ribosomal RNA
Rfam family: Bacterial small subunit ribosomal RNA
Source: RNAcentral